Molecule: non-coding RNA, 239 nt
Organism: Pelobates cultripes (western spadefoot toad)
Lineage: Eukaryota; Metazoa; Chordata; Amphibia; Anura; Pelobatidae
Source: the annotation of a GenBank genome assembly
GGAGACUCCGGUAGCAGCAUCUUCCCCUGGAGAGUGUUCAUGGCGACUGGAGUUUGCAGCUGGUCGCUUGAUGGCUUCGGUGGUAAAGAAGUGCCCUUAUGCAAGGAACAAACAAUAAAGUACUGCAUGUUGGAUCAGCUGUAAUCCUGACAUUACGACAUGGCCAUAGAUCCUGCAGAUUUGUGUCAGCACAUAGUAGCUUGUGAGAGAACCGUAUGGAUCAGUUCACCUAGGCUAUC